GCUGCAAAUGGGUCGGGUCGACCCAUGACCUGACCCAACCCGACCCGCUUAGACCCGAACCAAUCCAUUUUAAAGGACCUACGGGGCUGGGUCGGGUUCUAAAAUUGGAUCCAUUCAAUAUUUCGGAUCAGAUCUAGAUUUACUGAAUUCCUAUCUGACCCGAUCCGAUCCAAAUUCAGUAUUGAAUCUAACAUGUAAAC
RNAcentral lists this long non-coding RNA (200 nucleotides) under Elaeis guineensis (African oil palm). Its description in RNAcentral is "long non-coding RNA (EGUI_LNC061104)". Lineage: Eukaryota; Viridiplantae; Streptophyta; Magnoliopsida; Arecales; Arecaceae. The record is from RNAcentral.